This 324-nucleotide ribosomal RNA is filed under the name uncultured Chloroflexota bacterium. RNAcentral describes it as "bacterial SSU rRNA". It matches the Rfam family "Bacterial small subunit ribosomal RNA", at positions 28 to 351 of the family's 1533-position model. The record is from RNAcentral. Lineage: Bacteria; Bacillati; Chloroflexota.
GAUAAACGCUGGCGGCGUGCCUAACACAUGUAAGUCGAACGAUGAUCUAGACUAUUUAUAGUGUAGUGAUUAGUGGCGAACGGGUGAGUAACACGUAGGUGACCUGCCCCAAAGAAAGGAAUAACUCUGCGAAAGUGGAGCUAAUACCUUAUGUGGUCGGCUAUUCGUUUAGUCGACUAAAGCUCUGGCGCUUUGGGAGGGGCUUGCGGCCCAUCAGCUAGUUGGUAGGGUAAUGGCCUACCAAGGCUACGACGGGUAGCUGGUCUGAGAGGACGAUCAGCCACAAUGGCACUGAAACACGGGCCAUACACCUACGGGAGGCAG